This 440-nucleotide ribosomal RNA is filed under the name uncultured bacterium. Its description in RNAcentral is "partial 16S ribosomal RNA". It matches the Rfam family "Bacterial small subunit ribosomal RNA", at positions 338 to 795 of the family's 1533-position model. The record is from RNAcentral.
CCUACGGGGGGCAGCAGUGGGGAAUAUUGCACAAUGGGGGAAACCCUGAUGCAGCGACGCCGCGUGAGUGAAGAAGUAUUUCGGUACGUAAAGCUCUAUCAGCAGGGAAGAAAAUGACGGUACCUGACUAAGAAGCCCCGGCUAACUACGUGCCAGCAGGCGCGGUAAUACGUAGGGGGCAAGCGUUAUCCGGAUUUACUGGGUGUAAAGGGAGCGUAGACGGCAGCGCAAGUCUGGAGUGAAAUCCCAUGGCUUAACCAUGGAACUGCUUUGGAAACUGUGUAGCUAGAGUGCAGGAGAGGUAAGCGGAAUUCGUAGUGUAGCGGUGAAAUGCGUAGAUAUUAGGAGGAACACCAGUGGCGAAGGCGGCUUACUGGACUGUAACUGACGUUGAGGCUCGAAAGCGUGGGGAGCAAACAGGAUUAGAUACCCGUGUAGUC